RNAcentral lists this long non-coding RNA (274 nucleotides) under Carica papaya (papaya). RNAcentral describes it as "long non-coding RNA (CPAP_LNC009548)". The record is from RNAcentral. Lineage: Eukaryota; Viridiplantae; Streptophyta; Magnoliopsida; Brassicales; Caricaceae.
AAUCACUCGUUCAUGCUUAUUGAUCUUCUAGAGCUUUUUAGGGAAUUUUCUUGCAACUACUUCUAACUUGCAGGGCUUGAUUCAAGGAGAUCCAAUUCCUGACGUUCAACUUGAUGAGUGAAGUUUAAGUCGUGAGUGGUAAAAAUACGAGUGAUAGUAAAUUAAGAAAAUGGGUCUUAGAACUAAAACUUUAGCUUAACUUCAUAUGAAAAUGUGUUCCACUAGACCUCGGUAUCAACCGAAUUCUUUUCACUUCUUUUUAGCUUUCUUAUUU